Molecule: long non-coding RNA, 342 nt
Organism: Leptonychotes weddellii (Weddell seal)
Lineage: Eukaryota; Metazoa; Chordata; Mammalia; Carnivora; Phocidae
Source: RefSeq, a predicted model, not a curated record
UUGGAGGUCAGGCAGAGGAGUUGGGGCUGUGUUUCCCUGUGUCUCACCGAGGAGGUGCAUCGUCACAGGGGCCGGUGUGGAGAAGGUCUUAGAGGAGGCCAGACAGGAGGCUGGAGCAACAGUCGAAGGUUCCAGUCGCAAGAAAGAGAGACAGCAGCCAGAAGAGCCAGGCACAAAGUGACAAGUGCUAUGGAAGCAGACAUCACGGGCCAAGUUGAUGAGCAGCUGGGUGUGAAGGGGAGGGACACGUUGCUACGAGAGUGUGCGCGCACGUGCUUGCGCAUGAGCGGGAGAGAGGCAGAGGGAGAACCAGACUCCCCAUUGAGCAGGGAGCGACCCGGG